Molecule: non-coding RNA, 9974 nt
Organism: Microcebus murinus (gray mouse lemur)
Lineage: Eukaryota; Metazoa; Chordata; Mammalia; Primates; Cheirogaleidae
Source: RefSeq, a predicted model, not a curated record
AAGCAGAAUAAAUUUGGAGAAAAUAAUAAUAGCUAAACUUAUUGAAAAUAGAUUCCACACCCAGUGCUGUGCUAAGCUCUUUGCACAUUUUAUCUCAUUCUAUCCCUCUAAAUCUUUAAGGUGCCAAGUAGUCUCAGCUCCCCACAGGUACAAAUAAGGAAGCUCAGGGUCUGUGGGAAUUGGCAGAAAUGGGGGGGGGGAGACUUUGUGUUAGAAGAGUGAUAAGCUAGAAGUGGCUGCUCAAAAGGGUAGAGCAAUGAGAACGUGAUUUAAAAACUAGUGUUGACAGAGGAGUGUCGACAGUUUUUCGGGGCAGAAAGACUUGAUAGUCCUCCUUGGCCAGACCUUUCACAUGGGGUGCCCCUGGACCCUGGAGAAGACUGCUGUCGAGGGGAGGAGGUGGUAGGGAGUGCUUAGAAUUGGGUGUGAAGUUAGAUUAGAGCAUGGUGUUCCACAGCUUUAAAAAUCGGAAAUGAUUGGCAUGGCAUAGUAUUCCAUGGCACAGUGUAAAUGUUAGCUGGCCUGGGAGUACAUUAGCCUCCGGUCCAGGUAAUGACCGCAUGGCACAUGCCAAGCACAAGCUGAAAUGGUGCAAUGGGCUGGUCCACUUUGGUCUACUACCGGUAUCGGUUCUAGUUCUCUAUAGGGCCCCUGGGUUCUAGCUGGGCACACAGUCUCCUUCACACAUAAAGACCACAUUUUGCAGCCUCCUUUUGUACACAGGCAUGGCUAUAUGCCUUGGUCUGGCCAAUGGGGUGUAAGAAGAAAGGUUCCAGGAGCUGUUUCCUUCCCAUCUCCUUCCCUCUGCUUCUUGGAACACUGGAGCGACAGCCAGAGUUCAUUCUGGAUGGUGAGGACAAGCAUGGUGCCCUCAGGAUGGGGAAGCAGAAAGCCACAAGCUGCCUGGGCCCUGUGGGCUUGAUGGGACUGGGCUGCUGUGGCCCAGGACCACCCACCCCUGAGCUUGGACGUGAUGGAGCCAAGUGUCCAUCUGGUUCCAAUGCCCACGAGUGUGGGGUUUUCUAUUUCUUUCAGCCAACUGAAUUCUGAUUUGCUCUUGGGUAGACUAGACAGAGUUCCAUAAUCAAUGUGGCAUCUUCUUUCUCUUUGGAUGAUAAAGACAAGACACCUUCACUCUUUCAGUCUCCCUCCCAGGAAUCCUUAAAGGGCCUUUUGCAGCAUGAGGACUCAGCCCCACCUGGGGAUAGACGUUGCCAACAGGCAUGUACUCUGGGCCUCGCUCAGACGGGGCUUAUGUGGUUUUACUGGAUCUGUCGCCAAGGAGGCCAAGACAUCUUUGGCACUUGUGCUUCCCUCGGCCAGGCUUCCUCUGUUUUCCCAACUUGCGGUGGCUCUGCCCACGACAUGCUUCUGUCCGUGGUUGAAACAGCUGCCACUGGACACCGCCAUCCUUCCAUGUCCAGUUCAUGCGUCACCUUCUCAGAGCAGCUGUCCCCAACACGGUGGGGGGAAACUCUCUACUGUUGUCGUCACGUUUUCAUCGCCUGCAAAGGCAUCGCAGCUUCCUGCUUCCUCCCAGGGAGGCAGUCUGUCACAGCCAGCCAUGCGGGUGUGUAUGCAGUGCCUGCUCCUCGCCAGGCCACCUGCUAGUGACUAGGACACACCUGUCUGUCUCCCGCCCUCAUGGCGUUUGUAGUCUGGGGACAAAGAAAACCAACAAAAAUGCAAUUAAAAACUAUGACAGACUUUAUGAAGGAGAACAGAAUGGGUGCUGUGCAGAAGAGCCAACUUGGGGGUGGGAUUGUUCACAUGGUCUUGGUGGAAGAAUAAUGCAAGAAGUCCUAUCCAUGCUGAAAUCAGCAAUGAAGACUUCAGGGUUGGUAUCGGGCAGGCUUGGAUUUGCACCCUGGCUGCACUGCUUCUUAGCUGUGUGGCGUUAGGCCAGUGGCUUCACCUCUCUGAGCCUGAGAUAGGUAAUAACACCCAUCUCAUUAAGCUGGCUGUACAGUGCCUGCCACAUAGCCAUGCAGCGAGCACUCCAUAAAUGGGGUCUAUUUUUGAAGGUCUAUCAUCCACCCAGAAUAUAGAUGCUCUGAGGACAGAUCCGUCCCCUUAUUCAUCUGUGCACCCCAGGCAUAGACUAUGUAGCUGAUGUCCCCCAAGGCUGUCUAAAUAAUAACAGCCAACAUUCCCUGGGCUCUCACUGUGUGCCCAGCACUGUUGCUAGCACGCCACGGGCAUUCACUCAUUGAACACUGGAACUAAUUCCCUGCGGGUGGUGCUACUGUCACUCCUAUUUGGUGGCGAAGCAGUGAAGGCCCAUGGAGACUGGGUGACGUGCUCGGGUUCAUAUCAUCGGCAGGUAGAGGAACCGGUGCUCAGCCCCAGGCAGCCUGGCGCCCAGAGCCACUGCGUUUCGUUCCCCCUGCAGGGGACGAAGGAAAUCUGUCCAUCCUGCAAAGAAAUGCAGCCUCCCCUUUGGCCUCGACCUUAUAGACUCUCCCAAAAAAAUAGAAUUGGGGAAAUACAUUCCCCCUCAAAUUAUAUAAUAAUUAUUUCAAUAUUCUCUUAUUAGCGCUGGGUAAAUGAAGAAGUGAAAUAAACAGAAUCAAAUUAUUCACCUCUCAGCUGGCUGUCUCUACCGGGGCUCUCCUGGGGGCUCUGGGUUCCAGGGCACGAGUGCCUGCCCAGAGCAACGUCUCUCCCCACGCCCACCCUCCAGUCUGCGGGCUCCUUACCCAUUCUCCGUGGGUCCGCCCUGCCUCUGGCAAGUUCUGCUGUCUUCUUUCCGCGUUCCCUCCUAUUAAAACACCCUCACCCGAAGGCAUCCCAGAGAUGAGAAGUGCACCUGCCAACUCACCCCUGGAAGCCGAAAUGCGUAAAUUGCUUCUUUUAUUUUCAAAAUAGUGUAUGUUAUUUGGAAUGGAGAAUGGCCUCACCUUGCCCUCCUGGGCCUGCUGUUCUGGGAUGUUUUGUUAGAAACAACGGGAGAGGAUAAUGCCUCACAUCCCCACUGCUCCUCUUGCUACAGAAAUUGUAAUAAACUGCCAAGAGUGCAGGCACCACCACAGCUCUCUUGAUUGAGGUUUCCCGAGGCGUAGGGAUGCAUCUGCCUUUAGCUGCCCAUCCUCAAUUAAUUACCCGAUUAUUGUGGGGGACGGUUGAUGAGGCAAGACCUUAGGCAACCCCAAAUGGCAGUGUCGAAAUGGUCACAUCAUCCCCAGGGGCCCCAUCUGACAACUGAUGGGUGUGCUCUUUUCUUGACUCAAAGCUGAGCCUGAGCCGAGGGAAUGGUGAGGGGGUGCCAGGCUAGCAGGGUGGAGAAGAGGGCAAGGAAUAUGGGGGUGAUGCUAGAAUGACCAAGACCAUUUCCCUAGAGAUAUACAACCCAGUGAAUGAAUUAGUAUUAAUCGAAGUUCUAUGAAGGGGUUUAACUCUGCAUUAGGUUUUAAGCAUAGAGCAGUAUGUUAGAAUCCAAAGGCCUUCUUUCAACUUCCAAUUCCAGCCAUUGACCAAAAGGCAGUGGGAUUUGCUGAGGUUCAGGUAUUUAGUCUGUGAAACAGGAUGACAGUGUUUCUCAUAGGACAUCUUAGACCAGGUGCAUGUGGUUGCUGUAAUAGUAAUAGGAAUCCAUUUAUGCCGACUUCAUUAAGUCACAAGCUGUUGGAAGGAUAUAGUGGUGUGUGUUUCAAGGGCAGGAAGCCCUUCCUCAUGGGGGGCUGGCAUUGGGAACUGAGAUGCUGUUCUGAAUCGUGUUCACUGUGCUUUCUUCCUCUUUUUCUCUUUCUCAUCUCUCUCUCUUUUUCCCUGCUUUUCUCUGUGUAUUUGCUAAUUCUUCUCCUCCCUCCCCUCUCUGCUUCUCUAUGUAUUAUUAAUAUAAGGUGGAAAAUAGAUAUUCCAAUAUGGUACCAUUGAAGCCUGGGUCUGUACCAUCAUGAGCCAACAGUGAAAUUUUCUAGUCCAUGUUACAAAUGGCAAAGCAAGGGAAUAUGGGCACCUGGCUGCAAUUAAUGGGGCUGCAGCUAAUGGAUGAGACCAUGCAGCCUGCUGCUCGCCCAGUGUGGCCGUGGGGCCAGUGGCCGUGAGAGCGGAGCGUGGGCAGAUGUUCUCGGAGGGGGCCCGGGGCGGAGAGCGAUGGAGGGCCACCCUGCACGCUGGGCCUCUGUAAGGAGUAAGCCAGAUAAUGGGAGAUUUCUCAGUGCAGCCGGUGAGAGCUCAGUGUUCAGGGGGUGCUAGCACGAUGUGCACUGUGAAAGCAGCUUACAAUUCAAUGCGAGGGAAGAAACGGCCCUGCACUGAGUAGGUGCUUUUUUUCAUUUUGCAAGGACUGUCUUAUGCUCCCAUCUCCCACAUAAGGUGCCUGGCCCAUCAUCAAUGCUCAAUACAUGCUUACUGCAUGGAGCAGAACGAGAAGGGUGGCAUUAAACAAGAGCCUACAAGAGAGUAGGAAUUAAACUCUCCAUUCUAGGGCACUACUUUAAAGACACUGUCAUCCUUCAGGGUUGCUAUGAAGUGGUCAGUGGACCUCAGCAGUUGGCAGAGAGAUUAUGCAAGAAAUGGGUACCCAUGUUGCCUUAAGGAUGUACAACGUGGGGAGGCAUCCAGAAGAAAGAAUAGAAUUCCAGAAAAACAAACAAUAUGCGAAUGACGGUGCAGAGCAGAGCCAAGGUGAGCCCAGUGUGCUCGAAGAGUGACAGAUGGGACCAAAGGGAGAAUGAGUGAUGGGUCACAUGAGAGCAACAUUGGGUGACAAAGAGAGAUUAUUCCAGAGACCACCAAGAAGCAGGCAGAGAUGGCCAAGUGCAGGAAAACAGAGCACCACUGAAGGCAACUACAGAGUGAGGCUGCCAGCCCCUGCCCUCUCCAACCCUUCUUAGCUGCAGGGUCCAAUCCUGCCCAAUGUCUGUGUCAAAAAAACCCAGAGCUUAAGAAACACCAUUCCCAUUUGCAGGAGGGGGCUGGAGUUGUCCUGCUGCCUGAGCCCAAGGAUCCCACAGCCCACUGAGCUGCAGACCUCAUCUCAUGUGUCUUUAUGGGACAAGGACAUAAAAGGGGGCCUCUGCUUCUGGGGGUCUUGGCUUCCCCUCCAUCCCACUGCCCUGACUCCUAUAGCCUGUUGUGUUGAGAUCCUGACUCUGCCUCAGCUUGGCCAGCCCCCUCUCCCAAGGACCCAAUCUUAGCUCUCUAUACCCAGCUCUUGUUAAGGGCUAAUCAUAUCCAAGGCAGAGGCUAAAACCCAAGGGAGCAUCUUUCACCUGAUUGAAAGGAGAUCCUGCCCAGGAAAUCAGUCACCCCGGAACAUCAGUCAAGCCAGUGAUGCCCCGACUUGGGCAUGUCCCAUGGACUCUAAUUUAGAGUCCAAGGCUUGGCAGUCAGAGCAGUCACUCUGUGCAUGGCCUUGCUCUGUGCCAACGAGGAGGUUCCUCCUUAAGAUCCAAGCAGGUCUUGACACCAAAGCCCCGAGCUGAUGUAGGAUGUCUUUUCAUCUAAAUGAUGCAAAGUCUUAGAGAAGUGCGGAGUGUCCUGUAGGAUCUUUACAUUCCAGCAGCCACAUAGGAGAAGGUGAAUGAAACAACAGUCUCGAGAGAGAUUGAGUGGUGUAUAGUUUUUGUCAGCAGGGUGGUCUGAACACAAUCGCAGGUGUUUAUAGAAUACACAGUGAAGGGAGUGCCUUCACCCUGAACCUAUCCAAGUGCCAACUGGUUUCACAUAAGUGGAGCAGGUGUUGCUGCCAUGCCGGUAUCUCCUCUAGGUUUCCCAGGAUGUUGGGGCGAAAUAUGAAUACUUGCUCAGCAUUGGUGAGUGGCCCAAGCUUUCCUGGGUGGACUUUUCAGGAUGGCUGUAGGUCUGUUGGCUGGAAAAGGCAUCCAGGCCCCUGACAAAGAAGUAGAUGUCAGCCACGUGCCAGCCUGUUUAAAGAACAUCAGCCUGCAACCACCCUCACAGACCGGUCCCUAAUCAUUCCCCAUGUGUCUGAUGUCAGACUAGCAUGUUGCCCUGCCCCAGCGGGUAGGGACUGGCUUCAGGGCACUCCAGUGACAACCACCUUUCUCCUGUUUAUGAUUGCAGAUGAUGGGUGGUCCACUGAGUCCCCUAUCUACAAGUUCAAACCCCGCAUUAGCAUUUUUCUCUUUCUGGCCUCCCUGCUUUACAUAUUAUCUGGCCUCACACAUCACUCCUCUAGUCCGGGCUCUGAGCACGCCUUAUCUGCGCUGGCACAUAUUUCUCUGGAGCCGGAAGCGGAGGAGGACGGGUGUGACGAGAGGAAAAGAGAGCCGCAUGGGUUGAUGACUCGCUCUGGCCUGCGGCGAAUGAGGAUUUUCUGGCUGUCCAAUAACAGAAUCUCCAGUGAGACGUGGGAUCAGUCGUGUCCGCGCCAGGGCUGGUCUGUGUGUCUGUGAGGGGCAGGGCCCUCUGCGUGCUCUGGUCACUAGUGUGGUGGCAAGACCCAGCGCUGCAGAGCCAUCCUGGUGUGAUGCCAGUCCCAGCCCCACCCAUUCAUAGUUAGGAAAACACUUGCCUUCCAGGAGCCUUGGUUUCCUUUCCUGAAGGGAGGAACACUGAUUCUUACCUCCUGGUGAAAAAAAAAGAAAUCUUAAACUAGACAGCUCAAACAAAUUGCCUGCUACAUGAAACUACUUCAUACACUCAACUAUUUUUUUACCCCAAACCAAACAGCUGAGGCCAGCGAUGGGUCACCAAGCCUGUGCGCAUUUGAGGGGAGUCCUCUGUCUGAGAUUGUCCAUGCCACCCAAGAUUGUCCACACAAGUGAGCAUGUCAGAAUGACUUCGGCCCACUCACAGGGGAAGAACAUUCUAUCAGUAGGGCUGUUAGCCUUCCACUCAGCCCGUAAGAAGGCUGUUCUGGCAAUGGGCUGAGACCCACAGAAGAGGCAAUGCUAUGGCUCUUAAAUCGCUUUAGGGGAGAAAUCACCAUGGCAACUGAGCCUACAAGAGUAGUGUGGCUCUUGCAUAGGGUCCUCCCAGAAGGCUGUGCGUGCUCUUCAGGUGGUUCCAAUUCAUCGCAAGGAACCAUGCCUCAGGUUCCAAAGGCAGCAUCCGUCGGUUCCAACGAGAGGGAUGUGGAAAAGGCUGAACGUAGUGGCUCUUACGCUGCCUCUUGAGACUCCUACCUCUGAUCCCAUGGCCCACGGCACUCCUCUGGGUUAGACCAGUGGUCCUCAACUGGGCGCGUGACAGGGACUUUUUAAAAACAUGGACACUUUAACUCUUCCUCAGCACAUUUGGGUCCGACUCUGUGGGGACAGAUUCCAGAUAUCUGUAUUUUUAAAGUUCCCCGGAUGAUUCUAACACGCAGGCGGGGUGGAGAACCACAACUUACUUAAUGCAAGUGCUUCUCAAAGUUUAAAGUGCGUAGGUUAAACGUAAAUCCCAAACCACGUAGGGAUCUUGUUCGGUUAUAGAUCCUGAUUCUGUAGGUCUGGGGUGAGACCUGAGACUCUGCCUUUCUAGCAAGUUCUUGGGUGGUGCUGACGUCGCUGAUCUGGGACCACACUUGAGUAGCAAGGCUCUACAGAGUUCCUCAUUGCCACAGCUGUGGCUCCUUAGACCCCAGCUGCAGAUUUAGUCCUACACUCCUUUUUAGGACCAACCUGGGGCAGGCAAAAGCUUACCCACCUUGAGUCCCUCCUCCUGGACUCGGGACCAAGCCCCCUGGCUAUGAGUCUCACCCAUCAGCAGCAGGUGUUUUAGAAAUCGAAAUCGAAAUCUCAUAUCCAAACCGCUGGUCAUUUCAUUCAGCUUUCUAUUUCCAAAUGUCAUCAUCUACUCAAACGGGUACCCACAGAACACUGUGUACAGAAUUUUAAUAGCUGGGAAGCAAACAGAAAACCCUCCCUGUUUAAAUACACUUGGAAAUUCUGGUCUAAACAAAUUUGAAAUUUGAAUACGUUUCUUUACUGUAGCAUUUAUCAGGGCCUUUAAUAUGCAAAGAUGUGUUCUGAAACCUAAAGUGUGCAGGGCUUUCUAAACUUGUUUGGCAACAAAAUAACUUUAUUUGUGGGACACUUAAUAACAUUUCAUAGACCUGGAGAGCUAUAAAACCCGUUCUGGGAAGUGCUACUCUGGAUUUAUUUCUACAGGCUUGAGAUAAGCAGAGGGACAGAUUAGCAUGGAGAUUGCUGGCUGAAAUUUUCUAUCAGCACGCGAGAAAGGAGAACCCUCCAUGGAACAUCGUAAAUUGUUCAUGUGUCUGCAGCCGUGCGAGAGCAAGACAGGGCCUGAGAAAAGGAAGGUCAAAGGUGGUCAUUUGCCAUGGGUUUGAGAAAUAAGGGGGAUAAUUUUUAUGGCUGCUGGAAAGGAAUAAAUUGUUACUGUAGUGUUUAUGGCACUACGGAGAAAGGUUGAAACGAAAACAUUCUUGCAAAGUCAAAGGUCCCAGGAGACGGGCCAAUGGAAUGGACGCUGUUCUUUUGAGGAUUUCUUCCCUCCGUGUUUACUGUUUCUGAAAUAUUAAAGAUUCUUGAACUAAUGGAGAAUGCAAACAGGGACACACAUCCCAUGUGGAAAGUGGCAGGGUGCUUGCUGUGAAUGUUUGUUUCUUCAGAUGUGUCUGACGUUAAUUUCCUGGAAAUUGAUGCAUUUGGAGAAAUGGCAGCAUCCUAACAGUUCUGGCUGAGUUUUCUGCUCUCACAUUAUGUUCCUGGAAGAAUUGGGGUCUUGCUGCUUUUCCCCGAAAAACAUGGGUUCCUAGUGAACUCUGUCCGGCCCAUUGAUUAGAAACCUGUUAUUCAUGGGUAGGAAACCCAGAUGUUGACUAACUGGCACUGACUGUUGGAAUCCUUGCUUGCUUACAAGACGGAGGUUGGGCAGUGCCGGAACAUGCCCCAGCCUCCCAGCGUGGGAUGCUCGUGUCUGGGCCCGGCCGCACCUGCUGGAUGCAGGGCCACAAGAUCAGGACAGAGAUGGGUCAUCACUGCCCACCACGAUGCUGAAGUGGAAGUACUUCUUUGGAAUUUUGAUAUGUACUUUAAAAUAGAGAUGGCCUCAAAAUUAGGAGCCCCUGGCAUUAGCCAAAUGGGAAGACGUGCAUUUUGGGAUGCACCCUCGUUUGUUUUGGCAUGCACUGGAUUUUAUACUGUUAUGCUGGAUUUGUUUUCCUUCCAGGUGCUCUGUUGGUUAAGGCUUAGUCUCACUUAAUAGAAAUGACUCUGAGUAGUUGAAGGGAAGGGGAUUUAUUACUAGGUUUUAGGUGGCUUACCAAAUAAUUGGUAGGGCCGAAGGAUCAGGAUACGCUUUCAGCUCUCAGCGACAAUCCCCAGUUCUGAGAGUCACACCUCCUGCUGCGGCACAGCCUCCUGGCCUCUCACGGGCUCUGCCCUGCCUUUUCUCCUGAGAACUCAGAUUCUAAUUUAGUUCUUCACAAGUGCAUCUGCUGGAGAGAGCUAGCUCACAGCCAGAUGCCCAGGUAUGAGACAGUCUGGGAAAUGUAGUUCCUCCUAUUGUGAAAGGCACAUGAAAAGGAAGCCUGAAUGGUUGCCAAGUGAGCCAAUCUACCAUCCGUGCCAGCGGAGUAAUAGAGCACAGUCACAAUAUCAUUCUCAUUAAAUGAUUGGUGAUAAAUGGAACCGCAAGGCAAACACUGAACUACUGAUUGGAAAUGCAGUGCCACUGAUCUGAGCAAAGCUGCCAAGACGAUUUGUCAAAGUCCUGGAAACCAGGUCAACAUCACUCCUAUUUACCAAUAUCACAAUGCUGUACCAUCAAAAUUCUGCACCAUUAGAAUUCUGGAACUUAAGGGGACUUUGAGGUGGAACUGGUUCGGACCUCUCAUUUCAGAGAGCUCGUCAGGCGGUUUGCUAGCUCUUCAUUGUCAAACCGUUUCCCAGCUCCAAGGGUGGGGGAAGGGUUUGCAGGAAAUGUGCCUUAUUCAUUUUUUUAUUCCCCCAUCCCAGUGCUGAGCCUGAUUCCUGGCAUAUGACUUCACCGUUGACGAAUGAAUGUGCAUUUGGCAGGCAGACCAAAGCCACUGGAGGAAGGGGAAAUAGGACGAC